UACGUAGGGUGCAAGCGUUAAUCGGAAUUACUGGGCGUAAAGCGUGCGCAGGCGGUUUUGUAAGUCUGACGUGAAAUCCCCGGGCUCAACCUGGGAAUUGCGUUGGAGACUGCAAGGCUAGAAUCUGGCAGAGGAGGGUAGAAUUCCACGUGUAGCAGUGAAAUGCGUAGAGAUGUGGAGGAACACCGAUGGCGAAGGCAGCCCCCUGGGUCAAGAUUGACGCUCAUGCACGAAAGCGUGGGGAGCAAACAGG
Molecule: ribosomal RNA, 253 nt
Filed under: uncultured bacterium
Lineage: Bacteria
Description: partial 16S ribosomal RNA
Rfam family: Bacterial small subunit ribosomal RNA
Source: RNAcentral